Molecule: ribosomal RNA, 492 nt
Filed under: uncultured bacterium
Lineage: Bacteria
Description: partial 16S ribosomal RNA
Rfam family: Bacterial small subunit ribosomal RNA
Source: RNAcentral
AGUGAACGCUGGCGGUAGGCCUAACACAUGCAAGUCGAACGGCAGCACAGUAAGAGCUUGCUCUUACGGGUGGCGAGUGGCGGACGGGUGAGGAAUACAUCGGAAUCUACUUUUUCGUGGGGGAUAACGUAGGGAAACUUACGCUAAUACCGCAUACGCCCUACGGGUGAAAGCAGGGGAUCUUCGGACCUUGCGCGAUUGGAUGAGCCGAUGUCGGAUUAGCUAGUUGGCGGGGUAAAGGCCCACCAAGUCGACGAUCCGUAGCUGGUCUGAGAGGAUGAUCAGCCACACUGGAACUGAGACACGGUCCAGACUCCUACGGGAGGCAGCAGUGUGGAAUAUGGGACAAUGGGCGCAAGCCUGAUCCAGCCAUACCGCGUGGGUGAAGAAGGCCUUCGGGUUGUAAAGCCCUUUUGUUGGGAAAGAAAAGCAGCAGGUUAAUACCCCGCUGUUCUGACGGUACCCAAAGAAUAAGCACCGGCUAACUUCGUG